GGGUCAGUAGGUUGGUCGUGCCACCGGUACGUACUGGUCUCACUGAUUCCUCCUUCCUGAAGAACCGUAAUGCCAUUAAUUUGGUGUUGCGGGGAAACAGGACUGUUACUUUGAAAAAACUAGAGUGUUUAAAGCAAGCUAACGCUUGAAUACAUUAGCAUGGAAUAAUGAAAUAGGACGAUCGAUCCCAUUUUGUUGGUUUCUAGGAUUGACGUA
Molecule: ribosomal RNA, 216 nt
Filed under: Glomeromycotina sp.
Lineage: Eukaryota; Fungi; Glomeromycota
Description: partial small subunit ribosomal RNA
Rfam family: Eukaryotic small subunit ribosomal RNA (bases 44-216)
Source: RNAcentral